Long non-coding RNA from Cyprinus carpio carpio, 587 nucleotides. Lineage: Eukaryota; Metazoa; Chordata; Actinopteri; Cypriniformes; Cyprinidae. The record is from Ensembl.
GACACACAUCCAACGCAAAUUUAACAACUACUAUCUCCAAAAGAUCCUUUAUCAUACCCCAAGGACUGCACAUCUGCUUCCUCACAGACUCAAUAUGUCGAGAUAUUAAAGACUACAUGCCAAAUGCACAAUGCUGGAAAUAAUGGCUUUCAGUAGCCCUACUAAAAUACCACGUGUGGAGGGAGAAGAAUUUUUGAGAAUCAGAGAGAAGUUCUGUUUAUUAGCAGUAAGUAUUAGGUAUGUUUGUAAUGUUAUGUGAUGUGCAGUGGACGUGUAUUUAUUGUUUUUUGUGUUUUGUGUAGUAUGCGGUGUUGGAUGAGACAGUGUGCAAAGGGGAUUUGCAGAAGGAUUUGACAGAGCUAGGAGUGAAGGUCAUGAGGAAAGUAUCUGCAAUGGAUGCAGAAAGAAAAUAUCUGCGUAAGGAGUUGGCAGACACAGUCUGCAGGUUGAAGAAUACAGAAAAGGAGCUGGAAGUGGCAAGGGCCUCCCUGGAUUUUCAGGGAGAUGAUAUUUUGGAAGAUGGCAGAGAAGAUGGGAGUGAAAUUGAAGACUUGGAUAUUGUGGAAGAAGUGAAUGUAGAUGAAUAA